RNAcentral lists this ribosomal RNA (314 nucleotides) under uncultured bacterium. RNAcentral describes it as "partial 16S ribosomal RNA". It matches the Rfam family "Bacterial small subunit ribosomal RNA", at positions 499 to 807 of the family's 1533-position model. The record is from RNAcentral.
UUAUAAGAGACAGCAGUAGCCGCGGGAAAACGUAGGCGGCAAGCGUUGUCCCGAAUUAUUGGGCGUAAGGGGCUCGCAGGCGGUUUCUUAAGUCUGAUGUGAAAGCCCCCGGCUCAACCGGGGAGGGUCAUUGGAAACUGGGAAACUUGAGUGCAGAAGAGGAGAGUGGAAUUCCACGUGUAGCGGUGAAAUGCGUAGAGAUGUGGAGGAACACCAGUGGCGAAGGCGACUCUCUGGUCUGUAACUGACGCUGAGGAGCGAAAGCGUGGGGAGCGAGCAGGAUUAGAUACCCCGGUAGUCCCUGUCUCUUAUAC